UGGAAGGUUCGUUGAAUGGGCAUAUGCAUCGUGGACAGUAGGGGGAGUGCAAGUGCUUCUCAAAUGUAAUAUUUCAUGCCUUCUCCACACUCGUCCUCACAAGAACAUACUCAAGAGAACGUCCUCGGGGGAAUGCACUUGAAGCACGAAAUGGGAGACGGACAAGGAGACUGAUAUUGUGAUUAUCAAAGGAGCCGGUGGGAAAGCCUUCUGUGCUGGUGGAGACAUCAGAGCUGUGACUGAAGCAGGGAAGGUAGGAGACUUCUGAAGAAUACAUCCUGAACAAUACUAUUGGAUGUGGGCCACUGAGAAGACUGUUCGCCAUGCCAGAGACGGCAAUCGACCCUAGCCAAGAUGUCUCCCACAUCGCUGAAGAUAACCUUCAAGCAGCUUCAGGAGGGAAGCGCCAAGAGUUUGUAGGAGGUCCUGGUGAUGGAGUGCAGACUCAAUCAAGCCUGCAUGGUGGUACGUGCCAAAAGUCCCCAGGCCCUUAAUACUACCUCCUCUUUUCAUAGGUGUCCAAGUUGCCUAAAUUAGUUUCCGUCCCUCGUAUCCUUUCUUUCAUGUCAACUCAAUAUAAUCCAUGUUCUCCUUGAGUUUUAUGGUUGAAAUAAGCCAUCAUAUUCACCUAUUAGUGGUCAUACAGUUGGAAAGGAGACAGGGAAAGGACCAUCAGACAUGGCAUGCCAGUCACUCAGUGGCCUCUCACAACAGCAGGACUUUGGUAAGACCACACCCCAGUGCCGUGCCCAUUUCUGUGGGGGCAGAGAGACUAUGACCUCACCAGCGCAUUAUUGUCGUUCUUGCUGCUGGUGAGUCUCUGAUCCACCUCUACGCAGACGACACCAUUCUGUAUACUUCUGGCCCUUCUUUGGACACUGUGUUAACAACCUUCCAAGCGAGCUUCAAUGCCAUACAACUCUCCUUCCGUGGCCUCCAAUUGCUCUUAAAUACAAGUAAAACUAAAUGCAUGCUCUUCAACCGAUCGCUGCCUGCACCUGCCCGCCUGUCCAACAUCACUACUCUGGACGGCUCUGACUUAGAAUAUGUGGACAACUACAAAUACCUAGGUGUCUGGUUAGACUGUAAACUCUCCUUCCAGACUCACAUCAAACAUCUCCAAUCCAAAGUUAAAUCCGAAUUGGCUUCCUAUUCCGCAACAAAGCAUCCUUCACUCAUGCUGCCAAACAUACCCUUGUAAAACUGACCAUCCUACCAAUCCUCGACUUCGGUGAUGUCAUUUACAAAAUAGCCUCCAAUACCCUACUCAAUAAAUUGGAUGCAGUCUAUCACAGUGCCAUCCGUUUUGUCACCAAAGCCCCAUAUACUACCCACCACUGCGACCUAUACGCUCUCGUUGGCUAGCCCUCGCUUCAUACUCGUCGCCAAACCCACUGGCUCCAGGUCAUCUACAAGACCCUGCUAGGUAAAGUCCCCCCUUAUCUCAGCUCGCUGGUGACCAUAGCAGCACCCACCUGUAGCACGCGCUCCAGCAGGUAUCACUGGUCACCCCCAAAACCAAUUCUUCCUCUCCAUCCAGUUCUCUGCUGCCAAUGACUGGAACAAACUACAAAAAUCUCUGAAACUGGAAACACUUAUCUCCCUCACUAGCUUUAAGCACCAGCUGUCAGAGCAGCUCACAGAUUACUGCACCUGUACAUAGCCCAUCUAUAAUUUAGCCCAAACAACUACCUCUUUACCUACUGUAUUUAUUAAUUUUGCUCCUUUGCACCCCAUUAUUUCUAUCUCUACUUUGCACAUUCUUCCACUGCAAACCAACCAUUCCAGUGUUUUUACUUGCUAUAUUGUAUUUACUUCGCCACCAUGGCCUUUUUUUUUGCCUUCACCUCCCUUCUCACCUUAUUUGCUCACAUUGUAUAUAGACCUAUUUUUCUACUGUAUUAUUAACUGUAUGUUUGUUUUACUCCAUGUGUAACUCUGUGUUGCUCUAUGUGUCGAACUGCUUUGCUUUAUCUUGGCCAGGUCGCAGUUGUAAAUGAGAACUUGUUCUCAACUUGCCUACCUGGUUAAAUAAAGGUGAAAUAAAAGAUGUAUAACA
Molecule: long non-coding RNA, 2059 nt
Organism: Salvelinus fontinalis (brook trout)
Lineage: Eukaryota; Metazoa; Chordata; Actinopteri; Salmoniformes; Salmonidae
Exons: 5
Source: RefSeq, a predicted model, not a curated record